GCAGAAUGUAGAUAGGGGUGGGAAGGGAUAUGUAUCUUUGGUGGUGGCGUCUGACUAUGGGUUGCCCAGGUGUGACCUAUCCACAAUAAAGCAGCACAAAUGCAACCCACUUAACACCUAAUCAGUCCACUUGCUGAUGAAAGCAGCUGUCAAUAGUGUUAUCAGUGACAAUUGCUUCAUAUAAAUCUGCUGAGUGAUGCUCAGUUUGGCAUCUUCCUGCGCCACUGUCUCCUGACCUCUUGACAGCCUUGCUUCAAAGGUAGACACGAGUUGAACUGCAGAGAUGAGGGAGGAACAGUCCUCAGUGUGAGGGCAACAAUUGGCUGAAUUGACUUGUUGGGCUGCCAGUUGUUGAGGAUGGGUGUACUUAUGCAGCUGCUUCCUUGAGUUAGUUGUUUGAAUUCCACCAUGAUUUGUCUCUGGAUGUGGCAGGACUGCAAAGGUUAGAUCUGAUCUAUUGGUUGUGGAAUCAGUUGCCCUACCAAAGCUGAACUCUAUGGGAACCUUGGGAAUGGUGGAGGGAUAACUCUUCGCAAGUUGGAUUUGUCCCUUGCAUACAGGAAGAUGAUUAGCUUAUUGGAGGUUGGUCAUUUUGGCUCCAGAACAUUGCUGCUCAAGAGAGUGCUUUUUAUUUCCUGGCUCAGCCAUCUUCAGCUACUUCAACAGUGAUCUACCAAGCAUUGUAAGCUCAAAUCUCUUCAGUUAUCAACGAAGAAUAUUCAGCAACAUUCACAUAUGCGACACUGAAGCAGUCCAGUCCAUACGCGGCAAGGCCUGGACAGUAUUUGGGUGUGAGCUGAUGAGAAGCAAUUAUCAUUCAUGCCAGUCAAUGACUAUCUACAAAAAAAACUAUUCAACCCUUGACAUUCAAUGUCAUUACUUUAACUUCUCUAACAACUUCUUUCCCCCAGGUAUGACCAGCAAUCUAUUUAGAUGUUUUCUGAACUCCAAUAUUUUUCCUGUCUGAGCAAGUUCGUAAGGGGACACCCUGCCUGAGAGGAUUUGAUAUCUAACUAUAUUGAAAGAGGGUCCCCCACAAGCCCUAUCACUCAAAAUGAUAAACACAUACCCAAGCAACAA
This is a non-coding RNA of Chiloscyllium plagiosum (whitespotted bambooshark), 1080 nucleotides long. Lineage: Eukaryota; Metazoa; Chordata; Chondrichthyes; Orectolobiformes; Hemiscylliidae. The record is from RefSeq and is a predicted model, not a curated record.